This 253-nucleotide ribosomal RNA is filed under the name uncultured bacterium. Its description in RNAcentral is "partial 16S ribosomal RNA". It matches the Rfam family "Bacterial small subunit ribosomal RNA", at positions 524 to 776 of the family's 1533-position model. The record is from RNAcentral.
UACAGAGACUGCAAGCGUUAUUCGGAAUUACUGGGCUUAAAGAGUUCGUAGGCGGCGCAGAAAGUAGGGUGUGAAAGCCCUCGGCUUAACCGAGGAAUUGCGCUCUAAACUACUGUGCUUGAGGAACCUAGAGGUGAGCAGAACUGAUGGUGGAGCGGUGAAAUGCGUUGAUAUCAUCAGGAAUACCGGAGGCGAAGGCGGCUCACUGGGGGUUUUCUGACGCUGAGGAACGAAAGCCAGGGGAGCGAACGGG